GACGAACGCUGGCGGCGUGCUUAACACGUGCAAGUCGAACGAUGGAGCUCCUGCUUGCAGGAGUGGAUUAGUGGCGAACGGGUGAGUAACACGUGAGUAACCUGCCCCUGACUGCGGGAUAAGCCCGGGAAACUGGGUCUAAUACCGCAUAUGACACCUGGCCGCAUGGUCUGGGUGUGGAAAGUUUUUCGGUUGGGGAUGGGCUCCCGGCCUAUCAGCUUGUUGGUGGGGUAACGGCCUACCCAGGCGACGACAGGUAGCCUGCCUGAGAGGGCGACCGGCCACACUGGGACUGAGACACUGCCCAUACUCCUACGGGAGGCAGCAGUGGGGAAUAUUGCUCUAUGGGGGAAACCCUGACGCAGCGACGCCGCUUGAGGGAUGACGGCCUUUCGAUUGUAAACCUCUUUCAUUCUGGAAGAAUCCUUCUUGUGACUGUCCCUGCCGAGGAAUUUUCGGCCAACUACAUGCCAUUAGCCUCGGUUAUUCGUAGGGUGCUCUCUGUUGUGCGAGAUAAUUGGUCUAAUGGAUAUUCUACGUGGUUCGUCGCGUCUGCUGUGGAAACGCAAGGCUCAACCUUGCGCGUGCAGUGGGUACGGGCGGACUAGAGUGCAGUAGGGGAGUCUGGAAUUCCUGGUGUAGCGGUGAAAUGCGCAGAUAUCAGGAGGAACACCGGUGGCGAAGGCGGGACUCUGGGCUGUAACUGACGCUGAGGAGCGAAAGCAUGGGGAGCGAACAGGAUUAGAUACCCUGGUAGUCCAUGCCGUAAACGUUGGGCACUAGGUGUGGGGCUCAUUCCACGAGUUCCGCGCCGCAGCUAACGCAUUAAGCGCCCCGCCUGGGGAGUACGGCCGCAAGGCUAAAACUCAAAGGAAUUGACGGGGGCCCGCACAAGCGGCGGAGCAUGCGGAUUAAUUCGAUGCAACGCGAAGAACCUUACCAAGGCUUGACAUACACUGGAAUGUGCCAGAGAUGGUUCAGCCCUUUUGGGCUGGUGUACAGGUGGUGCAUGGUUGUCGUCAGCUCGUGUCGUGAGAUGUUGGGUUAAGUCCCGCAACGAGCGCAACCCUCGUUCUAUGUUGCCAGCACGUGAUGGUGGGAACUCAUAGGAGACUGCCGGGGUCAACUCGGAGGAAGGUGGGGAUGACGUCAAAUCAUCAUGCCCUUUAUGUCUUGGGCUUCACGCAUGCUACAAUGGUCGGUACAAAGGGUUGCGAUGCCGUGAGGUGGAGCGAAUCCCAGAAAGCCGAUCUCAGUUCGGAUCGUAGUCUGCAACUCGACUACGUGAAGUCGGAGUCGCUAGUAAUCGCAGAUCAGCAACGCUGCGGUGAAUACGUUCCCGGGCCU
RNAcentral lists this ribosomal RNA (1347 nucleotides) under uncultured bacterium. RNAcentral's name for it is "16S ribosomal RNA". It matches the Rfam family "Bacterial small subunit ribosomal RNA", at positions 28 to 1381 of the family's 1533-position model. The record is from RNAcentral.